GGUCAGGAAUCUGGGGCCAGAAAAAAAAAAAAAAGAAAAAGAAAAAGAAUUUGGUGUGACAGCUUGUUUUUCGCUUUUCGAUUCGCCUUGCAGGAAGAUGUCGUAGUUACAAAUUUUAAAAAGGAUAACGAUAGUUUAGGCUGGGAGUUUUGCUAAAAAUGGUAUGUGUGAGUUUAUUCGUGCGAGAUCAAUUCGUCCACUUUUCGAUGGUGUUGUGAAUUUAUGAUUCCUUGUUACAGUUUUAGGAUAAAGUUCUACCACGCGGCGGGUGGGUGUCGGCCAUCACGAUUUGGUGGCGACAUGGGUGAAACGUGCGUGUUGUUAUGUUGUUGUGAUUAAGAAUUUUUUGGAAUUUAAUUGAAAUUUAAACAAUUUGAUAAGAAAAUCAUCAUCAUGGUCCCCUAACAACCUUAUAAUUUUAAAAACCAUGAUUGGGUUAUAAAAUAACGCUGAAAUUUGAGAGUUAACACGCGUUUUGCUCGCUUCACGUUUGGAUUGAGGAAGCGUGGACCGCCAGUAAUCCAUAGGAAUCUCUUGCAUCUUUUACCCUGCUCGUCCGUAUGACACACGGCCACAGUCUGCAUGAGCCGCGCGUCCGGAGCGAAGCUUGAAUUUUCGGAACAGGUGUUUCCCUAAAUCUUCAGGAUAUUAAGGUGGAUUCUCUCCAACAUAUUAACUUUUUUUUUUGUGAAGCUAAUUCAACUAUUUUUGUAUUUUGGUUUACGUUUAUAUUAAUUGAUGGUUUACACUAGAUUGUGACAUAUACGUUCCUAAAAUCGUAACUUAUCAUUAAGACGAGUAACCUAAGAUCAUAGUGAGGUGCGUUGAAUGCGGACAGCACCUUGAGAUAGUAUAAAGCAUCUCUCAUGUCUCUGUAACUAGUCGAGUUAACUUUAAAUGUAAAUCUAUAACCAACAACAGAAGAAUUAAAUAACUAUUUCUAAGGUA
This is a long non-coding RNA of Maniola jurtina (meadow brown), 948 nucleotides long. RefSeq lists it as uncharacterized. Lineage: Eukaryota; Metazoa; Arthropoda; Insecta; Lepidoptera; Nymphalidae. The record is from RefSeq and is a predicted model, not a curated record. The transcript has 2 exons.